Molecule: ribosomal RNA, 618 nt
Filed under: uncultured bacterium
Lineage: Bacteria
Description: bacterial SSU rRNA
Rfam family: Bacterial small subunit ribosomal RNA
Source: RNAcentral
AUGCAAGUCGAACGAGGGCCCGGAGCUUGCUCUGGUGACCCGAGUGGCGGACGGGUGAGUAACACGUGACCAACCUACCUUCGGGAGGGGGACAACCUGGGGAAACCCGGGCUAAUACCGCAUAUCGUCCACGGGCCGCAUGACCUGUGGAUAAAAGGGAGCCUCUGCUUGCAAGCUUCCACCCGAAGAGGGGGUCGCGGCGUAUCAGCUAGUUGGUGGGGUAAUGGCCUACCAAGGCAUCGACGCGUAGCGGGUCUGAGAGGACGACCCGUCACAUUGGGACUGAGAUACGGCCCAGACUCCUACGGGAGGUAGCAGUAGGGAAUAUUGCGCAAUGGCCGAAAGGUUGACGCAGCGACGCCGCGUGUGGGAGGACGCCCUUCGGGGUGUAAACCACUGUCAGGGGGGAAGAACUUCGCAGGUGUGAAUAGCGCUUGCGGUUGACGGUACCCCCAGAGGAAGCGCCGGCUAACUCCGUGCCAGCAGCCGCGGUAAGACGGAGGGCGCAAGCGUUGUUCGGAUUUACUGGGCGUAAAGGGCAGGUAGGUGGUCUGUUAAGUCUUCUGUGAAAAUCCGGGGCUCAACCCCGCGAAAUGCAGGUGAAACUGGCAGACUGGA